AAACAAAUCUAAAAAACUUUUGCUUCCUCCCUCACAGCCGAUCCCAAUUUGUUCGUCUCUUCUUUCACUCUCAUCCCUCUCAGUCUCAAUUCCUCUCUGUCUCAAUCCCUCUAGAUCUCAAUCGUCAGUUUCAUGGAUCUACAAAGCCCUCUUAAUCGAUUUUGGCUCGAAUCACAAAUUUGGAGUUUGAUUUUAUUUGUUGCUCGCUUUCGUUGACUUAGAUUCAUGAAUAGGUUUAGAUUUAGUAGCUAUGGGUUCAUAAUUUCAAUUUUGUCUUACCUAUAUUGUUCCUCCUUGGUGAUGUGAUAUAGAGUUUGUUAAAUCCUCCGCGUUAUAGUUUCUAUUUUUUUGAUGGGUUUCUUUUGAAUUCUGUGUAACAGGUGUACGGUUUCUCUUGAGGUUCGUUGAUGGUUUGAAGAAUGAAGAAGAUUCGGAACACAAAUACCGCUUGACAUAAUGGCAAUCCGAUUCUAGUGAUGGUCUUUGACAGUCCACAAAUUCUUUAGAUGGAGCAUAUUUUCUUCGCAAAUUUGGAUAUGAUGCAUGACAAGAACUCGAGCCUGGAAAGAGGUAAAUGGGUACUAACUCUUGUUAUUCUUAGACUAGAUCGUGCUGCAUUUUAUGUCCUAUGGAGUCUAAAAGGUAAAUGUAUCAGUUCCUAAAUGUACUGAGUUAUUUAGCUUUAUUGUUUAGGUAAUAUAUAUAUGCAGUGUACUUUUCUUAUAACUUCUACAGCUUCUAAUAUGUGUUCUCGUUUUUUUGUUCAAUACCCUUAUAGAGAACCAGCUCGGUGUUUGAUCAAAACUAGACUCAAUACAGCUCUAAGAUUCAUAGUUUUGUUCUUAUUGGUGGAAGAACUCAAUCUCUUAUGUUGAUAACUUGAGUGUUUGUUCAAUUUUUGAUGAUAAUCUUUAUUAUUUGUUCUUCGCUUUUUGUGACCAUGAUGAUGCUGAGAUUGUUUAUGGGAUGGUGCAGGUCUGCAGGAAGUUUUCAUAAAUAUAAAAAGGAGGUCGACACAUCUUGAUCUUGUUGUGUGAUGAAACGACAUAAUCUUUGUGUGGAUUUAGCCUCAAAAGAACAAUGCACUUGUUGGAGCUCACAUUGUUCAGCCAAUGAAGAAAGCUUUGAGCCAUUAACAGAUCACAAUUUGUGGUCUUCGUUAAUUUUAUUUUUUUUUUAUAUACCAUUUAUCAAUUUUGAUCUUUCAAUU
Long non-coding RNA from Arabidopsis lyrata subsp. lyrata, 1210 nucleotides. RefSeq lists it as uncharacterized. The transcript has 3 exons. Lineage: Eukaryota; Viridiplantae; Streptophyta; Magnoliopsida; Brassicales; Brassicaceae. The record is from RefSeq and is a predicted model, not a curated record.